GACAAACGCUGGCGGCGAGCCUAAUGAAUGCGAUUCGAACGGACUAUCGUAAUCGUAACUGCUUUUGGGCCGUUACACUCUCCGUAGUUAGUGGCAAACGCGUGUGCAACACUUGGGUAACGUGCCUUCAUUACGAGGAUAACUGGGGCGAAAGUCCUGCUCAUACUCGAUGGACUGCCCCCGCUAUGGCGGGGACCACUAAAUGCUCCGGCGCCUGGAGAUCGGUCCGCGCGCCUUUAUCUUGCUGGUGAGGUAACGGCUCACCAAGGCUACAAUGGGUAGCUGGUCUGAGAGGACGAUCAGCCUCACUGGUGACUGAGACAUGGUUCCUGACUCCUACGGGGAGUUAGCAUCCGGGAAUCCUCGUACCAUUGCGCCCAUGCCUGAAUGCAAACUACCCCGCGAUGGCUAGAUUGAAUGAUCUGCAUGAUCAAUAAAUACCUUGUUAAGGAGGGUAAAGACACCCCAAAAUGUUGACCUCCCUGAAGAGAAGGCCCCCGGUCUUAACUUCUCUGCCCAGUCAUGCCGUCCGCUUUUAAAAGGGGCUAAAUUUUAUCCGUACUCGACUAAAAUUCCAAAUGUCGACACACGAACAGUAGGAAGAACAGUUAGAUCUGCCAUUUUUCCACGUGGGGCUCGGCCCGGCUUUGUUUUCCACCUGCUCCCUAUGAAUCUGGGUCCAUAAACACCCCCUGUGACGCUUUAACCACACAAGUUUAUACUCCCCCCUUUGUCAAAGCAAACAUUCCCUCCUCUUUAUUCACUCACACCUUGUGCCGUCCAAUUACAUCUCAAAAUAUAUCUUCGACCAAUCAAAGAUUAUCCCCCCUAUUCUCCUAAAUAGGUCUUGUCUUGCAAGCACCAUAUUAGCGAUAAACGUGAUAACAUGUAGAAAGGAUCAAGCACCCCUAUAUACUAGUGAAAAAAAAGUGCCACUUCUCCUCGCUCCCGUGUUCUUUAUUGUUAUUGUUCUCUCCGAGUAUGGAACACUUCUUACUGUGUCCCCGCCCGGCUAGGAUUCAAACU
RNAcentral lists this ribosomal RNA (1026 nucleotides) under uncultured bacterium. Its description in RNAcentral is "partial 16S ribosomal RNA". The stretch from base 12 to 403 matches the Rfam family "Bacterial small subunit ribosomal RNA", at positions 39 to 400 of the family's 1533-position model. The record is from RNAcentral.